Long non-coding RNA from Chenopodium quinoa (quinoa), 1150 nucleotides. RefSeq lists it as uncharacterized. The record is from RefSeq and is a predicted model, not a curated record. Lineage: Eukaryota; Viridiplantae; Streptophyta; Magnoliopsida; Caryophyllales; Amaranthaceae. The transcript is spliced from 2 exons.
GCGUGCGAUCUAACGGCCCAAAUUAAAUCAGACGAAUUGACUGAGUUUCUCUCUCCUCUCCUCCGCGAUUUUCUCUCUCCUCACCAACGCCGUUUUCGUUCUCCUCUACCAUUUUCAAGCUCAAAUCUUAUCAAUUCAACGCGAAUUUUUGAAAUUCAUGUUGCUGAAACUCAUCAUCGUCUUGAAAUCUACAAUUUGAACCCAGAUUUGUGUAAUUUUUCGACACAAAUUAGGUAAAACCAUUGAAGCGGCUUCCGAUCUUUCUCUAUGCCAUUGAAGCAGCUUCUGAGUGAGGUGAUGUUUGAGAGGCUGCCAAGUGGGGAACGAGGUUAUUUUAUGACUCUGUGUUUGAAAGGCUGGCAAGCAAGGAGCGAGUUCAACCUGAAUGUUGCACAACAUCAUAAACCAACUUCUGGCAAAUCUCAUCACUCCAAGUAUUGACAGAACUUGGUUUCAAGACUGAAGUUACACUUGAUGAUGUAUUGGCAAUAGGGGUGGUUAUUGGGCGGGUCGGUGCGGGUCAUUAGCGGGGCGGGUCGGUUGCGGGUCAUGAUGAAUAUUUAGCGAGUCAGGGUCGGGUCAGGGUCAAUGCGGGUCAGGGUCGGGUCAGGGUCGAGGUAAAAGUAAAACGGGCCAUUAACUUCUACUAAUCUUUAAAUAGCAUACUAAUCUUUAAAUGGUAUACUAAUCUUUAAAUAGUAUACUUGUGCUCAGACAAAGAUAUAUGCAGGAUCAAAGUCUCAUAAAAAUCUUUCACAUCAAAAUAAAACCAGAAGUAGAGCCUGUGUAGAGAAAACCAGCACGCCAAAAUAAGUUCACCAAGAGUACUAACCCUGUUACAUCAAUUGUAAUAUACUAGUUUCUAGAUUUACGAAAUACUACUAGAAUGGUCUAGUUCAUUGCCAACAUUUUAGCAAAUGUUCUCAGAUACCACAAAAGAAUGAAGCAGCAGUAGGAAUGAAACAAGCUCUUUGGCUCUGAGUGCUUCAUGAACUCAGAACAGCCUCCAGCAACAGCAGCAGCUACAAAGCACCUCCCAGCCACACCAACACAAGCAACUACAGAACCAAAAAGCCAGCAGCACACAGAAACAAGACCUGCAGCCCCCAGCAGAAAAAAAAAAAAAAAAAAAAAAAAAAAAAAAAAAAAA